This 443-nucleotide ribosomal RNA is filed under the name uncultured bacterium. Its description in RNAcentral is "partial 16S ribosomal RNA". It matches the Rfam family "Bacterial small subunit ribosomal RNA", at positions 338 to 795 of the family's 1533-position model. The record is from RNAcentral.
CCUACGGGAGGCAGCAGUGGGGAAUAUUGGGCAAUGGAGGCAACUCUGACCCAGCAACGCCGCGUGAGCGAUGAAGGUCUUCGGAUUGUAAAGCUCUUUAAGCGGGGACGAAGAAAGUGACUGUACACGCAGAAUAAGCCUCGGCUAACUACGUGCCAGCAGCCGCGGUAAUACGUAGGAGGCAAGCGUUAUCCGGAAUGACUGGGCGUAAAGGGUGCGGAGGUGGUUUGGCAAGUUGGUAGCGUAAUCCCGGGGCUCAACCUCGGUGCUACUACCAAAACUGUUGAACUUGAGUGCAGGAGGGGUGAAUGGAAUUCCCGGUGUAGCGGUGGAAUGCGUAGAUAUUGGGAAGAACUCCGAUUGCGAAGGCAGCAUACCGGCGCUCAACUGACGCUGAGGCACGAAAGCGUGGGGAUCGAACAGGAUUAGAUACCCGAGUAGUC